RNAcentral lists this long non-coding RNA (625 nucleotides) under Macaca mulatta (Rhesus monkey). RNAcentral's name for it is "lncRNA (ENSMMUG00000038977.2)". The record is from RNAcentral. Lineage: Eukaryota; Metazoa; Chordata; Mammalia; Primates; Cercopithecidae.
GAUCUUUAGGAAACUGCCUGCUGUUUGUUGUUACCCCUUGUUCCCUCCGUAGGAGGUUUGGACAGGCAAUCUCUCACUGACGUGCUUCUAACUUUCAUUGUCACCUUUAUCAACAGAUUCGCCCCAUGGAGAGGACAAAUUGGAUUCAUGACCAGACCUCUGAGGGGCUGCGUCUCCAGGUAGCUGGUGGGAAGCUGUCUGGAAACAAACAUUUUCCAGCUCACUCGACCCUCACAUUUCCAGAGCAGAAGAAUACCCUGAAAGUGUUUUUCACGUACGAUUUCAGAAUCCUCACGAAAAGCCUCAAGUGUUUCUCCAGUUAUAGGGAGAUUCUAAAAACGUGUGGAUCAAGGGGUACCGCUUCUACUUAUUAACUUACUUGUGGAUGGCUAUGAUGUGAGCUCAGAUUAUGUGCAGUGGUUGCCUAAAACUUGGUGGGUCCAAUGGAGAUGGAGCCAUGUCAUCCUGUUCGUCACCUUCAGGGUGUCCCGCAGCACAGUGUGGUGCUCACACCUGUCUGCGUUCACCAUGAGUCAUCGCUGCACCUGCAUCUUGUGGCCUUUAUGCGAUAGUGAUCAUAAUGGUAAGUGCAGCAGCUAAUGUUCAUUGAGUGUUUGCCAUUCAC